This 117-nucleotide ribosomal RNA is filed under the name Salmonella enterica subsp. enterica serovar Typhimurium. Lineage: Bacteria; Pseudomonadati; Pseudomonadota; Gammaproteobacteria; Enterobacterales; Enterobacteriaceae. The record is from RNAcentral.
CCUGGCGGCACUAGCGCGGUGGUCCCACCUGACCCCAUGCCGAACUCAGAAGUGAAACGCCGUAGCGCCGAUGGUAGUGUGGGGUCGUCCCCAUGCGAGAGUAGGGAACUGCCAGGC